Molecule: long non-coding RNA, 2025 nt
Filed under: Equus caballus (horse)
Lineage: Eukaryota; Metazoa; Chordata; Mammalia; Perissodactyla; Equidae
Description: lncRNA (ENSECAG00000044193.1)
Source: RNAcentral
CAGAAAUGUCCUGUGGACUCCCCACGGCACUAAGCCUAAAAUCCAAAGUCCUUACCCUGGGAAGGCGCUGCAGGAAACUCUCUGAUCUCAUCACCUUCUCCUCUGCCCGCUGCGUCCUCAACAUGACAGCCAUGGCCCUGCUUCAGGACUUUUGAGAGAUGCUUCCGGAGGCCGGAGACUGAGCCUGUCCUGUUCUGUCCUGCGUCCCUGGCACCUGGAAUAGGGCCCAGCACACAGUAGAUGGAGAAACUGAGGCCCAGAGAGGGGAAGCGAUGUGUCUCAGGUCACAGAAAAAGCUAGCGACAGACAAUGGACUCAAACCCACGGCACCGUCUGGGCUUUUGCCUCUCUUCUCGGCCCGUCCUUCUGUCCCGCCCACCCUUCCCUCCCACGGGCCUGCAGCCAAUCUUUCCCAAGUGCCACUUUGGGCCAGCCUGGUGCCCUGGGCCCUGGGCUUCCUGCCCUGGAAGCUCAGGCUGCCUGAGGCUAUGUCAUUGCCACUUCCUCCUGUCAGACCUCCAGAGCUGCCUGCCCCUCCUCCCCACACCCUGUCCCGGCCACAGACUCUGCUACUCGUUUAAAAAUCCUGAUGCCCAGGUUGCUCCCCAGACCAAUGAGAUCAGAAUGUCUGGCAGGGGCGGUGGGGGGGGGGGGGGGGUGGUCCAGGCAUCAGGGUUUUUUUUUUAAGAUGUCUGGGUGAUUCCAUUUGUAGCAAAGUUUCGAAACCUCUGUUUUAGCCUUGAUAAAUGGCACCUCCACCUCCUGUUCCUUGGCCCCUAGGCUGCAGAUAUUCUUUCUCGGGAUCUACUUUCUGGAUGCCUGGGCCUGGGCCCCAGGACAGUUCUCAGCUGGGCAAUCCCAACUCCUUCCUGCUCCUGCCCUUUGCCCAACAGGUCUCCGGUCUGCCGAGACUGCCUGUUCUGAUCUGCCUCACCACUGCCAGGAACUCACUAAAUAUUUGUUGUUAAUGAUGUUGAUAAAUAUUUGCUGUUAAUGACCUCAGUCUGACCAAGAGGAUCCUUGAUGUAGAAGAAAGAAAAGGGCUUUUUUUUGGUCUUCUAUGUGGGACGCUGCCACAGCAUGGCUUGAUGAGUGAUGCGUAUGUCCGCGCCCAGGACCUGAACUGGGGAAGCCCAGGCUGCGGAAGCAGAGCACAUGAACUUAACCUUUUGGCCGUGGGGCGGGCCCCAAGAAAAGGGCUUUGAGAUUUGCCUUUUCUGGACAUUUCAGAUCAAUGCAAUUGUGCAGCACGCGUGUCUUGCACCUGGCUUCUUUCCCUCAACACCAUGUUUCUGAGGCUCUUCUAUGUUGCAGCGUGUGUCAGUACCUUGUUCUUUUUUAUGGCCAAACCAUAUGAUAUUGCAUGGAUACACGGUACCACAUGUUGCUUACCUUUUCAUCAUUGAAAGAGCACUCUGAUCAUGUUGGACCACAGAGAAGACUGAGGGAAGGGACAAUACCUAAUUCAUCUCCCUUUUCCCAGGACCGAGCAGAGAGCCAGGCACAGACUAGAUGCUCCGUGUGGUAGCCACUAGUGCUGGCCACCAAAUAUUUCUUUCUUCUCCUGUUGCACUUCCUUGCUCCUUCAAGUUAGUUGUGGCCAAGUGACUUGCUUUCAUCAACAAAAUGUGAAUGGAUGUGAUAUGCGUCACUCCUGAGCAGAAACUUUAAAAGUCAGUGAGCAACUUAACCAUACUCUUAAUCUUGGAGGAGGUGGCUGGCUGCACCAUCACACUGGACCCUGCAGUGAGAAUGACAAGGACAUGCCACUCUAUAGCCAAUUGACAUGUAGAGUGAGCAAGAACUACAGGCUGAUUUAAGCUGCUUAGAUAUUGGCAUCGUUUGUUACUGCAGCAUAACCUAACUCAUCCUGACUAUUAUGUGGAUAAAUGUUUGGUGAAAAAAAUGAAUGGAACUAAAGAGCAGAACAUUAAAUUCUCUGUCUUUUCUGAUUAAAACUAUGAAAAACAAUGUCGGAAUAUGGGCUGUAAACUUAAGGAAAUGAGGAAAUUAAAGCCAGCUAGA